RNAcentral lists this ribosomal RNA (463 nucleotides) under uncultured bacterium. RNAcentral's name for it is "partial 16S ribosomal RNA". It matches the Rfam family "Bacterial small subunit ribosomal RNA", at positions 28 to 507 of the family's 1533-position model. The record is from RNAcentral.
GACGAACGCUGGCGGCGUGCUUAACACAUGCAAGUCGAACGGAAAGGCCUUUUCGGAGGUACUCGAGUGGCGCACGGGUGAGUAACACGUGGGUGAUCUGCCCUGCACUCUGGGAUAAGCCUGGGAAACUGGGUCUAAUACCGGAUAGGACCGCACUUUAGUGUGUGUGGUGGAAAGUUGUUUCGGUGUAGGAUGAGCCCGCGGCCUAUCAGCUUGUUGGUGGGGUAAUGGCCUACCAAGGCGGCGACGGGUAGCCGGACUGAGAGGUUGGUCGGCCACAUUGGGACUGAGAUACGGCCCAGACUCCUACGGGAGGCAGCAGUGGGGAAUAUUGCACAAUGGGCGCAAGCCUGAUGCAGCGACGCCGCGUGGGGGAUGACGGCCUUCGGGUUGUAAACUCCUUUCGCCAGGGACGAAGCGUUUUGUGACGGUACCUGGAGAAGAAGCACCGGCUAACUACGUG